AUUCGGCUGACGAGUCCCAAAUAGGACGAAACGCGCGUUCUGGAU
This 45-nucleotide non-coding RNA is filed under the name Schistosoma mansoni. The record is from RNAcentral. Lineage: Eukaryota; Metazoa; Platyhelminthes; Trematoda; Strigeidida; Schistosomatidae.